AGAGUUUUGUAUUUCAUCAAGAAGGUGCUGAUUCACAAAGAUUUUAAAUUUAAGAAAAUCUGAGCAUCAUUCCAAAUAACUGUUAACAUGUUUGUCAACUAAACAUGUUUUGUAAACGUAAUAAACUUUAUAAAAAUAUUUUUUAUUUUGUAUUAAUAAUCAAGUAUAAAGAACAAUGCAUAGUGUGAAAAUGCGGAUUAUAAAAAAGUAUAUUAAAGAAAAGGACUACAUUUCCCAGAAUGCACCUGCACCCACUCAUCUGACUGCCCCCACCCUUCAGGUGCGACUGCUCAACCUAUGGGCUUGACGGAAAAUUCAAAUCGCGAACCGUUACUGCCUGGACUACUCCGUCUCUUGUUUGUUUGUUUGCUCAUUAACAGUAAGAGGUCAUGUACACUGUGGUCAACUUUGUGGACGAUGAAGAGGUUUCUGGGUAAAGAUGAUAGAAAUAUAAUGAAGUAACAGUGAAACCUAAAACAUCAGACUAAUCCAGACACUGAAGAAAUUGAUGUCACUGCAAUCUGGCCAAAAUGAUACAACUAUAUUGAAGUAGCCUACUGUAAUGAAGCUGCAGAACAACACACAGACUCUUGAGGACAUCAACACAGAAAAUGAAGGCUCCAAAGAGAUGUCUGUCCAGAUGAGGGUGCAUCAAUGUUACGUUUGCUGACAAGUAUAUGCUUUACAAUGUAAAACCUAACAGUUAACUUAACUCAAACCAUUUAAGGAAAUCGGUUGCCUUAACCCAUUAAGUUUUAAAAAACAUACAUUUGAGUAC
Molecule: non-coding RNA, 778 nt
Organism: Paramisgurnus dabryanus
Lineage: Eukaryota; Metazoa; Chordata; Actinopteri; Cypriniformes; Cobitidae
Source: RefSeq, a predicted model, not a curated record